RNAcentral lists this ribosomal RNA (163 nucleotides) under Corynanthe johimbe. RNAcentral describes it as "5.8S ribosomal RNA". It matches the Rfam family "5.8S ribosomal RNA". From Rfam's summary of the family: 5.8S ribosomal RNA (5.8S rRNA) is a component of the large subunit of the eukaryotic ribosome. It is transcribed by RNA polymerase I as part of the 45S precursor that also contains 18S and 28S rRNA. The record is from RNAcentral. Lineage: Eukaryota; Viridiplantae; Streptophyta; Magnoliopsida; Gentianales; Rubiaceae.
CAAACGACUCUCGGCAACGGAUAUCUCGGCUCUCGCAUCGAUGAAGAACGUAGCGAAAUGCGAUACUUGGUGUGAAUUGCAGAAUCCCGCGAACCAUCGAGUCUUUGAACGCAAGUUGCGCCCGAAGCCGUCAGGCUGAGGGCACGUCUGCCUGGGCGUCACG